GCCGUCCACUGAACAUUGUCGACGACCGCGCAAUCCUAACCAUGCAAAGGUAGCAUAAUCACUUGCCCAUUAAUUGUGGGCUAGAAUGAAAGGACCAACGAAAUAAAAGCUGUCUCUAUAAGCUAUAUAAAAAUUAAUCUCUAACUGAAGAGUGUUAGAUAAAAUCGAAGGACAAGAAGACCCUAUAGAGCUUUAUUUUAACAAAAACAAAUAUUUUGAUAAGAUUCGGUUGGGGCGACCAGGGAUAUUUUAAUCAUCCCUAAACAUAAGAUUAAUAAAUCACAAUAAUGACCCUUUACAAAGAUCAAUAAAACAAGCUACCUUAGGGAUAACAGGCUAAUCCUGCUAGAGAGUCCUUAUUUAUAGCAGGGGUUGGCACCUCGAUGUUGGCUUAUGGAAUCUAUAAGGCGCGAGAAGCCUCAUAAAGAUGGUUUGAUCAACCCAUAAUACCCUACAUGAACUGAGGUCAGACCGGCGUAAUCCAGGUCAGUUUCUGUCCUCGAUGAAAACACCUAUCCAUAGUACGAAAGGACCUGGAUAAUAAUAAUACAUUAUAUAACAACCGAAUAAAGUAUAAAGUCACUUAAAUAAUAAAUCCUCAUACGCUA
RNAcentral lists this ribosomal RNA (608 nucleotides) under Zophoscolex graffi. RNAcentral's name for it is "partial large subunit ribosomal RNA". It matches the Rfam family "Bacterial large subunit ribosomal RNA", at positions 1904 to 2825 of the family's 2925-position model. Lineage: Eukaryota; Metazoa; Annelida; Clitellata; Crassiclitellata; Lumbricidae. The record is from RNAcentral.